UAGACUUGAAAGACCCAGCCAGAACUGGAAU
RNAcentral lists this non-coding RNA (31 nucleotides) under Mus musculus (house mouse). Lineage: Eukaryota; Metazoa; Chordata; Mammalia; Rodentia; Muridae. The record is from RNAcentral.